RNAcentral lists this ribosomal RNA (253 nucleotides) under uncultured prokaryote. Its description in RNAcentral is "partial 16S ribosomal RNA". It matches the Rfam family "Bacterial small subunit ribosomal RNA", at positions 524 to 776 of the family's 1533-position model. The record is from RNAcentral.
GACAGGGGUCUCGAGCGUUAAUCGGAAUUACUGGGCUUAAAGGGUGCGUAGGCCGGCCCGCAAGUGCUUUGUGAAAUCCCAUGGCUCAACCAUGGAACUGCUUCGGAUACUGGCGCGCUUGAGGUUAGUAGAGGUCACUGGAACUGACGGUGGAGCGGUGAAAUGCGUAGAUAUCGUCAGGAACGCCAAUGGUGAAGACAGGUGACUGGGCUAGUUCUGACACUGAGGCACGAAAGCGUGGGGAGCGAACGGG